UGGCGGCAUGCCUUACACAUGCAAGUCGAACGGUAACAGGUCUUCGGAUGCUGACGAGUGGCGAACGGGUGAGUAAUACGUCGGAACGUGCCCAGACGUGGGGGAUAACGAGGCGAAUUCUUUGCUAAUACCGCAUACUAUCUAAGGAUGAAAGCAGGGGACCGCAAGGCCUUGCGCGUUUGGAGCGGCCGAUGGCAUAUUAGGUAGUUGGUGGGAUAAAAGCUUACCAAGCCGACUAUCUGUAGCUGGUCUGAGAGGACCACCACCCACACUGGGACUGAGACACGGCCCACACUCCUACGGGAGGCAGCAGUGGGGAAUUUUGGACGAUGGGCGAAAGCCUGAUCCAGCAAUGCCGCGUGCAGGAUGAAGGCCUUCGGGUUGUAAACUGCUUUUGUACAGAACAAAAAGGCUCUGGUUAAUACCUGGGGCACAUGACGGUACCGUAAGAAUAAGCACCGGCUAACUACGUGCCAGCAGCCGCGGUAAUACGUAGGGUGCGAGCGUUAAUCGGUAUUACUGGGCGUAAAGCGUGCGCAGGCUGUUUUGUAAGACAGAGGUGACCUCCCGCGGGCUCAACCUGAGAACUGCCUUUGUGACUGCAAAGCUGGAGUGCGGCAGGGGGGGAUGGAAUUCCGCGUGUAGCAGUGAAAUGCGUAUAUAUGCGGAAGAACCACCGAUGGCGAACGCUCUCCCCUGGGU
RNAcentral lists this ribosomal RNA (702 nucleotides) under uncultured bacterium. Its description in RNAcentral is "bacterial SSU rRNA". It matches the Rfam family "Bacterial small subunit ribosomal RNA", at positions 37 to 734 of the family's 1533-position model. The record is from RNAcentral.